This 402-nucleotide RNase P RNA is filed under the name Pseudooceanicola antarcticus. RNAcentral describes it as "RNase P RNA component class A". It matches the Rfam family "Bacterial RNase P class A". From Rfam's summary of the family: Ribonuclease P (RNase P) is a ubiquitous endoribonuclease, found in archaea, bacteria and eukarya as well as chloroplasts and mitochondria. Lineage: Bacteria; Pseudomonadati; Pseudomonadota; Alphaproteobacteria; Rhodobacterales; Paracoccaceae. The record is from RNAcentral.
GCGGAGGGCCGGAUGGCCGCGAGGGGCAACUCUCGAGGAAAGUCCGGACUCCACAAGGCAACGGUGCCGGGUAACGCCCGGCGGGGGCAACCCCAGGGAAAGCGCCACAGAGAACAGACCGCCCGCGUCCCCUCGGUUCGCGGGUAAGGGUGAAACGGUGCGGUAAGAGCGCACCGCGGGACUGGCAACAGGACCGGCAAGGCAAGCCCCACCGGGAGCAAUGCCGAAUAGGAACCUCGCGCGGGGCGUAGUCGGGCAACCGAAACCGUCACCGCAGGGCCGCCUUGGCCCGGAGGUUCGGGUUGGCAGCUGGAGGGCGGGGGCAAUCCCGCUCCUAGAUGAAUGGUCAUCGAACCGGCGCAAGCCGGGGAACAGAAUCCGGCUUACAGGCCCUCCGCGCAU